Acanthosepion pharaonis is the source of this 95-nucleotide non-coding RNA. The record is from the annotation of a GenBank genome assembly. Lineage: Eukaryota; Metazoa; Mollusca; Cephalopoda; Sepiida; Sepiidae.
AUCAAAAUACCGGUUUCCGUACGAUCACAGAAGCAACAUCGAGCCUGGUCAGUACUUAGAUGGGCGACCGCUUGGGAAUAUCAGGUGCUGUAAGC